This 253-nucleotide ribosomal RNA is filed under the name uncultured bacterium. RNAcentral's name for it is "partial 16S ribosomal RNA". It matches the Rfam family "Bacterial small subunit ribosomal RNA", at positions 524 to 776 of the family's 1533-position model. The record is from RNAcentral.
AACGUAGGAGGCGAGCGUUAUCCGGAUUUACUGGGCGUAAAGCGCACGCAGGCGGCUCUGUGAGUCGGACGUGAAAGCUCUCGGCUUAACCGGGAGAGGCCGUUCGAUACUGCGGGGCUUGAGGUAGGGAGAGGAAUGCGGAAUUCCCGGUGUAGUGGUGGAAUGAGUAGAUAUCGGGAGGAACACCUGUGGCGAAAGCGGCAUUCUGGCCCCCACCUGACGAUGAGGUGCGAAAGCGUGGGUAGCAAACAGG